GCCAGAUGUGGUGGCUCAUGCCUGUAAUCCCAUCACUUUGGGAGGCUGAGGCAGGAGGAUCACUUGAGCCCAGGAGUUCAAGACCAGCCUGGGCAACAUAGUGAGACCCUGUCUCUU
This 117-nucleotide small RNA is filed under the name Pongo abelii (Sumatran orangutan). Its description in RNAcentral is "Metazoan signal recognition particle RNA (ENSPPYG00000035673.1)". Lineage: Eukaryota; Metazoa; Chordata; Mammalia; Primates; Hominidae. The record is from Rfam by way of RNAcentral.